RNAcentral lists this ribosomal RNA (115 nucleotides) under uncultured Cortinarius. RNAcentral describes it as "partial 28S ribosomal RNA". It matches the Rfam family "Eukaryotic large subunit ribosomal RNA", at positions 1 to 121 of the family's 3401-position model. Lineage: Eukaryota; Fungi; Basidiomycota; Agaricomycetes; Agaricales; Cortinariaceae. The record is from RNAcentral.
GUGACCUCAAAUCAGGUAGGACUACCCGCUGAACUUAAGCAUAUCAAUAAGCGGAGGAAAAGAACUACAGGAUCCCCUAGAACUGCGAGUGAGCGGGAAAGCCAAUUAAAUCUGC